Molecule: ribosomal RNA, 777 nt
Filed under: Proteus mirabilis
Lineage: Bacteria; Pseudomonadati; Pseudomonadota; Gammaproteobacteria; Enterobacterales; Morganellaceae
Description: bacterial LSU rRNA
Rfam family: Bacterial large subunit ribosomal RNA
Source: RNAcentral
UGCGAAUGCUGACAUAAGUAACGAUAAUGCGGGUGAAAAACCCGCACGCCGGAAGACCAAGGGUUCCUGUCCAACGUUAAUCGGGGCAGGGUGAGUCGACCCCUAAGGCGAGGCUGAAAAGCGUAGUCGAUGGGAAACGGGUUAAUAUUCCCGUACUGGUGGUAACUGCGAUGGGGGAACGGAGAAGGCUAGGUUGUCCGGGCGACGGUCGUCCCGGUUCAAGCAGGUAGGCAGAGUGAUUAGGCAAAUCCGGUCACUUAAUGCUGAGAUGUGAUGACGAGCCACUAAGGUGGUGAAGCAAUUGAUGCCCCGCUUCCAGGAAAAGCCUCUAAGCUUCAGGUUACCAACAAUCGUACCCCAAACCGACACAGGUGGUCAGGUAGAGAAUACUCAGGCGCUUGAGAGAACUCGGGUGAAGGAACUAGGCAAAAUGGUGCCGUAACUUCGGGAGAAGGCACGCUGGCGGUAGGUAAAGUCCCUCGCGGAUGGCGCUGAAGCCAGUCGAAGAUACCAGCUGGCUGCAACUGUUUAUUAAAAACACAGCACUGUGCAAACACGAAAGUGGACGUAUACGGUGUGACGCCUGCCCGGUGCUGGAAGGUUAAUUGAUGGGGUUAGCGCAAGCGAAGCUCCUGAUCGAAGCCCCAGUAAACGGCGGCCGUAACUAUAACGGUCCUAAGGUAGCGAAAUUCCUUGUCGGGUAAGUUCCGACCUGCACGAAUGGCGUAAUGAUGGCCAGGCUGUCUCCACCCGAGACUCAGUGAAAUUGAACUCGCU